AGAGUUUGAUCCUGGCUCAGAUUGAACGCUGGCGGCAGGCCUAACACAUGCAAGUCGAGCGGUUGACGGGAGCUUGCUCCCUGAUUCAGCGGCGGACGGGUGAGUAAUGCCUAGGAAUCUGCCUAUUAGUGGGGGACAACGUUUCGAAAGGAACGCUAAUACCGCAUACGUCCUACGGGAGAAAGCAGGGGACCUUCGGGCCUUGCGCUAAUAGAUGAGCCUAGGUCGGAUUAGCUAGUUGGUGGGGUAAAGGCUCACCAAGGCGACGAUCCGUAACUGGUCUGAGAGGAUGAUCAGUCACACUGGAACUGAGACACGGUCCAGACUCCUACGGGAGGCAGCAGUGGGGAAUAUUGGACAAUGGGCGAAAGCCUGAUCCAGCCAUGCCGCGUGUGUGAAGAAGGUCUUCGGAUUGUAAAGCACUUUAAGUUGGGAGGAAGGGCAGUAAAUUAAUACUUUGCUGUUUUGACGUUACCGACAGAAUAAGCACCGGCUAAACUCUGUGCCAGCAGCCGCGGUAAUACAGAGGGUGCAAGCGUUAAUCGGAAUUACUGGGCGUA
This 560-nucleotide ribosomal RNA is filed under the name Pseudomonas sp. pfB8. RNAcentral's name for it is "bacterial SSU rRNA". It matches the Rfam family "Bacterial small subunit ribosomal RNA", at positions 8 to 562 of the family's 1533-position model. Lineage: Bacteria; Pseudomonadati; Pseudomonadota; Gammaproteobacteria; Pseudomonadales; Pseudomonadaceae. The record is from RNAcentral.